GAUGAACGCUGGCGGCGUGCCUAAUACAUGCAAGUCGAGCGAACGGACGAGAAGCUUGCUUCUCUGAUGUUAGCGGCGGACGGGUGAGUAACACGUGGAUAACCUACCUAUAAGACUGGGAUAACUUCGGGAAACCGUAGCUAAUACCGGAUAAUAUUUUGAACCGCAUGGUUCAAAAGUGAAAGACGGUCUUGCUGUCACUUAUAGAUGGAUCCGCGCUGCAUUAGCUAGUUGGUAAGGUAACGGCUUACCAAGGCAACGAUGCAUAGCCGACCUGAGAGGGGGAUCGCCCACACUGGAACUGAGACACGGUCCAGACUCCUACGGGAGGGAGCAGUAGGGAAUCUUCCGCAAUGGGCGAAAGCCUGACGGAGCAACGCCGCGUGAGUGAUGAAGGUCUUCGGAUCGUAAAACUCUGUUAUUAGGGAAGAACAUAUGUGUAAGUAACUGUGCACAUCUUGACGGUACCUAAUCAGAAAGCCACGGCUAACUACGUG
This 497-nucleotide ribosomal RNA is filed under the name uncultured bacterium. RNAcentral describes it as "partial 16S ribosomal RNA". It matches the Rfam family "Bacterial small subunit ribosomal RNA", at positions 28 to 507 of the family's 1533-position model. The record is from RNAcentral.